AUCCAGGCAUAGCAGAAGAGAUGCCUUGACCAUGCACUUGGUUUCCCAGGGUGAGGUUUAGUCAUUGCACUCCAGUUGUACUGACCCCUGCAGUGCCCCCAAAUGUGGGAAAGUCAACUGCAUAAUUUCUGCUAGUGGGAGACUGCUUGCUCUCUUU
RNAcentral lists this small nuclear RNA (157 nucleotides) under Mus spicilegus (steppe mouse). Its description in RNAcentral is "U1 spliceosomal RNA (ENSMSIG00000021671.1)". It matches the Rfam family "U1 spliceosomal RNA". From Rfam's summary of the family: U1 is a small nuclear RNA (snRNA) component of the spliceosome (involved in pre-mRNA splicing). Its 5' end forms complementary base pairs with the 5' splice junction, thus defining the 5' donor site of an intron. The record is from RNAcentral. Lineage: Eukaryota; Metazoa; Chordata; Mammalia; Rodentia; Muridae.